CCGGGCGACCGGCGCACGGGUGAGUAACACGUAUGCAACCUGGCCGUGACAGAUGGAUAACCGGGAGAAAUCCCGCCUAAUACAACAUAAUGCCGGGAGGGGACAUCCCCUGCCGGUCAAAGGGGGCGACCCCGGUCAUGGAUGGGCAUGCGGCGCAUUAGGUAGUUGGUGGGGCAACGGCCCACCAAGCCGACGAUGCGUAGGGGUUCUGAGAGGAAGGUCCCCCACAUUGGAACUGAGACACGGUCCAAACUCCUACGGAAGGCAGCAG
This 271-nucleotide ribosomal RNA is filed under the name uncultured bacterium. RNAcentral's name for it is "partial 16S ribosomal RNA". It matches the Rfam family "Bacterial small subunit ribosomal RNA", at positions 87 to 354 of the family's 1533-position model. The record is from RNAcentral.